GUGACCCCAGGUCAGGCGGGACCACCCGCUGAGUUUAAGCAUAUCAAUA
RNAcentral lists this ribosomal RNA (49 nucleotides) under Nassauvia digitata. RNAcentral describes it as "25S ribosomal RNA". RNAcentral also lists the same sequence under 1 other name. The record is from RNAcentral. Lineage: Eukaryota; Viridiplantae; Streptophyta; Magnoliopsida; Asterales; Asteraceae.